RNAcentral lists this ribosomal RNA (245 nucleotides) under uncultured Fluviicola sp. RNAcentral describes it as "partial 16S ribosomal RNA". It matches the Rfam family "Bacterial small subunit ribosomal RNA", at positions 524 to 768 of the family's 1533-position model. The record is from RNAcentral. Lineage: Bacteria; Pseudomonadati; Bacteroidota; Flavobacteriia; Flavobacteriales; Crocinitomicaceae.
UACGAAGGAUGCAAGCGUUAUCCGGAUUUAUUGGGUUUAAAGGGAGCGUAGGCGGUCUUAUAAGUCAGUGGUGAAAUCUCUCGGCUUAACCGAGAAAUUGCCAUUGAUACUGUAGGGCUUGAGUACAGUUGCUGUGGGCGGAAUAUGACAUGUAGUGGUGAAAUACAUAGAGAUGUCAUAGAACACCGAUUGCGAAGGCAGCUCACAAAACUGUAACUGACACUGAGGCUCGAAAGUGCGGGGAU